UCUUAAAAGUCGGACCAUUAAGUUAUUUGAAAAAGAAAAAAAAAAGAAAAUCAUUUAUUUUACAAUUUUAAGUCCUCUAUGACCUUGGAAAAUAGACACUGAAUAUCUAAUAUAUAUAAGAAAUCGCAAUUUUUAGUUUAACCAGUUAUUAUUAACCAGUAAUUUAUCAGAUUCUAAUAGCUAAAGUUAUCAGAUAAUUCACACAGUGGAACAUCUAUUUUAAGCAUAUUUUGUUUUACCUAAAAGCUGAAUAUCAUGCACGUCCAGACAAAUGAAGGGCACAUACCCAUGUUCCCCCAAAGAGUUAAUAUUAGUUACCCUUUCAGCCGUGACUGCCCCAUCACCUUAAUAAUAACACAUUAACAGAGGUCAGUUGACAACCAGCUACCAGUUUGUAUGUACUACACACAGACGUUUGUCUGUAACACAUCAUACUACUUCAAUUGGGGCUUGAAGACAAAAUGAAGCGCCCGGAUGAGCCUCGAAGGAGUAAAGCAGAUGGCGAGAACAACAACUGGGAGCAAGAAAAUCAAUCGGACACAUCCCACAAUAAGAGCCCGCUCCUUUCGGAUCCAUGGAAACCAUGCAGACAGCACCGUGCUGUUGUCAAAGAGCUGCUGUUGAAGCUGAGGUGUUGUCUGGGAACAGUGUGUGGGAUUGAAUGGUAUGGCUACGCUGCUCUGGGUAUUUUGACUGCCAUCCUCAGUUUCCUCAUGGACCUCAGUGUAGCGAAGCUGCUGCGAGCUCACCAGUGGCUUUAUACGAUGCUGGAAGGAAAUGUUUUGCUGCAGUUUCUCUGCUGGACUCUUUACCCAGCAUGCAUUUGUGCCAUUGCAUCAUCAUUCUCCCACAACAUCUGUCCUUUCUCCACAGGCUCAGGGAUACCAGAGGUGAGAACCAUGUUGGCGGGAUUUGAAAUGCCGCAUUAUUUGUCUCUCACUAAUUUGUUUUCCAAGUUCUUGGGCCUUAUCUGUACACUGGCAGCUGGCAGCACUGUUUUCCUGGGCAAAGUGGGUCCAUUUGUGCAUCUUUCCACCAUGGUGGGAGGUUACCUGAGCAAUCUCUGCACUCUCAUACAACGUGAUAAGAAGGAAAAAGCAGCUGGACAAAUGUUGGUUGUAUCUGCCGGGGUCGGGGUAGCCAGCUGCUUCGGAGCUCCCAUUGGCGGUGUGUUGUUCUCUGUGGAGGUGAUGAGCUCUCACUUCGCCCUGAGGCAUUACUGCCCAUGCUUCUUCUCAGCAGCCUGUGGGGCGUUGACCUUCCGACUUUUAGCAGUGUGGGGUGGAGAUGGAGAGACUCUCCAGGCCUUGUUCAGAACUAAUUUCCCCGAUGCUUUACCUUUCUACCCGCUGGAAAUUCUGCUGUUUGCUUUCCUAGGGCUGCUGUGUGGGGCUGUGAGCUGCUGCUACCUCUUCUGCCACAGGUGGAUCCUGCGUUUCACUAAAACAAACCCAGUUUUCGCCAAGAUGCUGACGACAGAGAAGGCUCUGUACUCAGGCAUGGUUGUCUUCUUCCUGGCAUCACUGACGUUUCCCCAUUUUGCUGGUCAUUACAUGGCUUCUAAGUACACCAUGAAAGAACUCCUCACUUCUUUCCUGGAUAGCAGGCAGUGGACCUCACAAUCCCACAACACCUCUGAGCAGCUGCAGCCUUUGUUGGAGUGGAGCUCAUCAGGGACUUCUGUCUACUUCUCUUUGGUUUUCUUUCUGCUCAUGAAGAUGUGGAUGUUGGUCCUCGCCUGCACCCUGCCUCUGCCAGCUGGAUACUUCAUGCCAGUGUUCAUCUAUGGGGCAGCUAUUGGCCGUUUGAUUGGGGAAGGAGCCGCUUAUUUGUCUUCCACUGGAGUGACUCCAGGCCAGCAGUGGGCUUCUGUAAACCCAGGAGGCUAUGCACUUGCUGGUGCAGCGGCCUUCUCUGGCGCUGUCACACACACUUUGUCCCCAGUUCUCGUGGCUAUAGAGUUGACUGGUCAGUUCACCCAUGCUGUACCCAUCCUCCUGGCGACUCUGCUGGCCAAUGCCCUGUCACGCUCUGGCCAACGCCCAUCUUUCUAUGAUGCCUUGUCCAUCAGCAAGAGGCUCCCACACCUUCCCUCUCUGAAGAAGGCAAGUCCUCAAUCACAGCAAGUUCACCCUGAGCACACGUGAAAGGAUCUGGAGAAGCCGUGGAGAAAAUUAUGCUGCCAUUAACCUCAUUCAGCAUGACCGGAUUGGUGGCUUCCAUCCACACCAGUCGGACAGGU
Non-coding RNA from Neolamprologus brichardi, 2242 nucleotides. NCBI's taxonomy places the organism in Eukaryota, Metazoa, Chordata, Actinopteri, Cichliformes, Cichlidae. The record is from RefSeq and is a predicted model, not a curated record.